Ficedula albicollis (Collared flycatcher) is the source of this 645-nucleotide long non-coding RNA. RefSeq lists it as uncharacterized. The record is from RefSeq and is a predicted model, not a curated record. The transcript has 4 exons. Lineage: Eukaryota; Metazoa; Chordata; Aves; Passeriformes; Muscicapidae.
UCAAAUCAUAGAUAAUUUAGGCUGAAAGAAACUUCUGUAGGUCAUCCAAUCCCCUUCUCAGCACAGGUCUCAUUACUUCAGGUUGCUCGUGCUAUGUCCAGUCCAGCUGAACCCUCCAAAGAUGAAGAUUCUGCAAGUUCUGCUGAGAGCUGAUUGCUGCAAUGCAUUGGCUGUGGCUGUGCCGCUGAGGGCCAGGGGAUGGGACACACCUCCAGCAUGGCCUGAGAAAUUCCUGAAUAUGUCAUCAGAAAUUGCUGGAUGUGACAGAUCACAGGCUUCUUCAGCCAGAGACGGUGCACUUGUGCACAGCCCUUCCCUGGUCAUGGGCUGUCCCUUGGAGGGUUCUCUCACAGCUGCCAGAGGAGAGGAUAGCCUUGUGUGCCAUUUACUGCAGUGUGUACCAAGCAUUUAGCUCUGCAGAGAUGGUCUAAGAGCUCCCCUGAGGAGUGAGAGCUGAGGCCCAGAAGGUUUAAAUAGCCUCAUGAAAGCAUGAGGACCCCAGCUUUCUUCUGUGAUUCAUCAGUUUGGACAUCAGAGAGCGCCUAAGUCGAGAGAUUCAGGUAGAAAAUACUUAUGUAUAAGCUGUUAUAAAUGAGACUUAACAGUGCCAUAUUGGAGAAUCAUGUAUUGUAAACUGGAAAGAGC